This 397-nucleotide transfer-messenger RNA is filed under the name uncultured Odoribacter sp. It matches the Rfam family "transfer-messenger RNA". From Rfam's summary of the family: Bacterial tmRNA, also known as 10Sa RNA or SsrA, is named for its dual tRNA and mRNA-like properties. Its role is to liberate the mRNA from a stalled ribosome. To accomplish this part of the tmRNA is used as a reading frame that ends in a translation stop signal. Lineage: Bacteria; Pseudomonadati; Bacteroidota; Bacteroidia; Bacteroidales; Odoribacteraceae. The record is from RNAcentral.
GGGGCAGACAUGGAUUUGACAGCGCGAAGAAUAGGUAUGUAAGCAUGUCGGGCGUAGUGAAGCCGGCCCGUAAAUCCCGGACGCAAAACUAUAAUUGGCGAAGAAAAUUACGCUCUUGCUGCCUAAUCUUUAGAAGAUUAUUGGCUUAAUUGCUGCUCAAGGAGCAGCGACGAGACAUCCCGCUGGUGGUUCACACCUUAUUCCGGCCAGUAUACGGGGUGCAGUUAAUAUAGGGUUAGCCUUAGCUUUCUUCGGGCGAAAGGCGAAAAUUCAGAAGAUAAGCGAUGGCUUGGGUGUCACUUUCCGGACCAUCGUCGAAAAUCAAUAAGCGACUAAGCAUGUAGAAAGCAUAUUGAUUCCGUGUUUGGACCAGGGUUCGAAACCCUGCUGCUCCACU